This 378-nucleotide ribosomal RNA is filed under the name uncultured bacterium. RNAcentral's name for it is "bacterial SSU rRNA". It matches the Rfam family "Bacterial small subunit ribosomal RNA", at positions 521 to 895 of the family's 1533-position model. The record is from RNAcentral.
UAAUACGUAGGGGGCGAGCGUUGUCCGGAUUUAUUGGGCGUAAAGAGCUCGUAGGCGGCUUGGCAAGUCGGGUGUGAAACCUCCAGGCUCAACCUGGAGACGCCACUAGAUACUGCUAUGGCUAGAGUCCGGUAGGGGACCACGGAAUUCCUGGUGUAGCGGUGAAAUGCGCAGAUAUCAGGAGGAACACCGGUGGCGAAGGCGGUGGUCUGGGCCGGCACUGACGCUGAGGAGCGAAAGCGUGGGUAGCAAACAGGAUUAGAUACCCUGGUAGUCCACGCCGUAAACGUUGGGCACUAGGUGUGGGGCCUUAUCAACGGGUUCCGUGCCGUAGCUAACGCAUUAAGUGCCCCGCCUGGGGAGUACGGCCGCAAGGCU